UUCUUAUCAAGAGAGGUUGAGGGAAUGGCCCUGCGACGCCUCAGCAACCAUCAAUGGUUUCAACCAUUGAAAAGGUGCUAAGUCCUGCAAAUUAGUUUGCUAAUUUGCGAGAUAAGAA
This 118-nucleotide non-coding RNA is filed under the name Neobacillus vireti. RNAcentral's name for it is "Bacillus vireti SAM-I sequence". It matches the Rfam family "SAM riboswitch aptamer (S box leader)". From Rfam's summary of the family: The SAM riboswitch is found upstream of a number of genes which code for proteins involved in methionine or cysteine biosynthesis in Gram-positive bacteria. The SAM riboswitch acts at the level of transcription termination control. The record is from RNAcentral. RNAcentral also lists the same sequence under 1 other name. Lineage: Bacteria; Bacillati; Bacillota; Bacilli; Caryophanales; Bacillaceae.